RNAcentral lists this ribosomal RNA (258 nucleotides) under uncultured Leptotrichia sp. Its description in RNAcentral is "partial 16S ribosomal RNA". It matches the Rfam family "Bacterial small subunit ribosomal RNA", at positions 96 to 355 of the family's 1533-position model. The record is from RNAcentral. Lineage: Bacteria; Fusobacteriati; Fusobacteriota; Fusobacteriia; Fusobacteriales; Leptotrichiaceae.
UGGCGGACGGGUGAGUAACGCGUAAAGAACUUGCCCUUUAGACUGGGAUAACAGAGGGAAACUUCUGAUAAUACUGGAUAAGUUAGUAUAUCGCAUGAUAUGCAAAUGAAAGCUACGGCACUAAAGGAGAGCUUUGCGUCCUAUUUGCUAGUUGGUAAGGUAAGAGCUUACCAAGGCGAUGAUAGGUAGCCGGCCUGAGAGGGUGGACGGCCACAAGGGGACUGAGAUACGGCCCUUACUCCUACGGGAGGCAGCAGC